Molecule: long non-coding RNA, 649 nt
Organism: Mercenaria mercenaria
Lineage: Eukaryota; Metazoa; Mollusca; Bivalvia; Venerida; Veneridae
Exons: 4
Source: RefSeq, a predicted model, not a curated record
AUUAGGGGAAGGUCUUGGGAUAGGUGCUUCCUCUUCCGUACACGCUUUAAAGCACUAUAAAAUGGGGCCAAAACCGGCCUACAGUAGCAGCAACUCGUCUUUCAACCUGACAACCAAAGGGAAACAAAACACCAAAAACAAAACUGACUUUAAACUUAGUAGAGGUUAAGCAAUAUCGAAAUGAAUAAGAUGGUCUAUCUCGGAUGUUUGGCUCUUGCCUCUUGUAUCGGUAUGGCUCUGGGUUAUGGAAGUGUUAUGACAGGGCACAAACAGUUCGCAGCAUACCCUAGCAUGGGUUAUGGGUAUGUUCCCUAUAUGGCGGGAUCUUCAGGCUUCGGAGGUUUUCUAGGUGGCGCCGGAGGCUCGACUGGUGGUAUGGGAGGAAUUUUUGGAAACCUAAUACAAUUGUUCCUGUUUAUCUUUGUCAUCAACAUCUUGUUCUCGAGUACCGGUCUGGGCUCUGGUGGUCUCAACAUCGGCAAGAAAUCCUCACAUGCGGCCUCUGACUUCUAUUAAAUAUCGUAACAGGCAAAAAUGACGAGAAUUCAAUUCCUCAAAAAGAGCAAAUGCUACCACCAAAUACGAAGUCAACAGAGAUCUGAAAUGAUAUUUCUUAAUUGAAAAAAAAAAUAAAAAUAGUAAAACAUUA